This 223-nucleotide non-coding RNA is filed under the name Clostridium cylindrosporum. Its description in RNAcentral is "T-box sequence". It matches the Rfam family "T-box leader". Rfam says of the family: Uncharged tRNA acts as the effector for transcription antitermination of genes in the T-box leader family. T-boxes are found upstream of many aminoacyl-tRNA synthetase genes and some amino acid biosynthetic genes usually in Gram-positive bacteria. The record is from RNAcentral. Lineage: Bacteria; Bacillati; Bacillota; Clostridia; Eubacteriales; Clostridiaceae.
UAUACGGCGUUGAAAGAGGCCAUUAGGAAGAUACCCUGUACAGGAAAGAUAAGUCAUAGACUGAGAGCUUAUCGGCAGAAGGACCUUUUGAAGUUUCCCUCUGGAGUCCCCUAUCUGAAUUUUUAGUAGGUUAGGGCGGUGAAAAUCGUUAUAAUUGCUUUAAGUGGGUAUUAUAUAUACCAAUUAGGGUGGUACCACGGAGAAUACAGCCUUCGUCCCUUAC